GGGCCGUUAGCUCAGUUGGUAGAGCAGUUGACUUUUAAUCAAUUGGUCGCUGGUUCGAAUCCAGCACGGCCCA
Rahnella aquatilis is the source of this 73-nucleotide transfer RNA. It matches the Rfam family "tRNA". From Rfam's summary of the family: Transfer RNA (tRNA) molecules are approximately 80 nucleotides in length. Their secondary structure includes four short double-helical elements and three loops (D, anti-codon, and T loops). Lineage: Bacteria; Pseudomonadati; Pseudomonadota; Gammaproteobacteria; Enterobacterales; Yersiniaceae. The record is from Rfam.